Molecule: long non-coding RNA, 902 nt
Organism: Melospiza melodia melodia
Lineage: Eukaryota; Metazoa; Chordata; Aves; Passeriformes; Passerellidae
Exons: 4
Source: RefSeq, a predicted model, not a curated record
GCUGGUGUGGUGCGUGGCCUGGGAGCUCCACACAGAUCCUUGAGAAGGAUGAAAUGCUGUUUAGCUUCCACCAAAAGAGAGAAGAAAUGCACACCUGCCUCCCUGAGAGUCUCCAGCUGCACAGUUCUGCUGCACUGGCAAUUCCCAGCAAUUGGAAGGGGUACAGUAAAGCUUACAAACACUAUGCUUGGGGUGAGAGACAGAGGCUUUGUGUGUACCAGGGAAAUUUGGUAUAUGAAGAGAGUGGAGCUGGGCUCAGGACUGAUACAACUUGCCAACAAGUGAGAUCCUGAUUUUCCAGACAUGGGACAUGCUUCCUGCAGAAGUACCUCCAGUGCCUUAAUUGAUGCAUUUGCACCAGGGAGAGCUGAUGCAGUAAGAUGACAAUCAAGCCCAUGGGUCAAGAGAUUCAGAAAUAAGUAUCUAAAGUUAGGUGCCUAAUUCCAUAAUUAGGAACUUGAGAAGAGGUGGACUGGUUUUCAAAAACACUGCAGGAGUGACAAAUUCUGCUGAAGUCAAUUUGAGUUGGAGCUCAAUUAUGUGUCUAUAUGGUCAAAAGGGAAAAGUCUGUCUUCAUCUGAAGCGAAGCAGGGCCUGAAGGAUGUAUCUCAGACAUCCCCGUGGCUCUCAGGGUCCAGGAAUGCACUGACUCAGGAGUGGAAGCUGUACCCAAAGUCUCCUGCAUGGUCACACAGAGUAGCACUGCACACCAGAUGUGGCUUCUCUUGUCAUAUGCCUAAAACUUUUUUAAUGAUAAGUGGUUUUCAGGCUGGCAAUUAAUUUGCCAUUGGCUUAAACUCCUAAGAACUACAAGGUAAUGGGAAGCUAGCUGGCUCAUUAAUUAAAAUAGAAAAAAGUAUGUUGAGGUAGCAUUUUCCUGGAAGUGGGGUCCAUUUGUGUCU